CAGCAGCCGCGGUAAUACGAGGGGGGCAAGCGUUGUUCGGAAUUAUUGGGCGUAAAGCGUGCGCAGGCGGUUAUAUAAGACAGAUGUGAAAUCCCCGGGCUCAACCUGGGACCUGCAUUUGUGACUGUAUAGCUAGAGUACGGUAGAGGGGGAUGGAAUUCCGCGUGUAGCAGUGAAAUGCGUAGAUAUGCGGAGGAACACCGAUGGCGAAGGCAAUCCCCUGGACCUGUACUGACGCUCAUGCACGAAAGCGUGGGGAGCAAACAGGAUUAGAUACCCCAGUAGUCCCUGUCUCUUAUAC
This 301-nucleotide ribosomal RNA is filed under the name uncultured bacterium. RNAcentral describes it as "partial 16S ribosomal RNA". It matches the Rfam family "Bacterial small subunit ribosomal RNA", at positions 509 to 807 of the family's 1533-position model. The record is from RNAcentral.